RNAcentral lists this ribosomal RNA (468 nucleotides) under uncultured bacterium. Its description in RNAcentral is "partial 16S ribosomal RNA". It matches the Rfam family "Bacterial small subunit ribosomal RNA", at positions 28 to 507 of the family's 1533-position model. The record is from RNAcentral.
GACGAACGCUGGCGGCGUGCUUAACACAUGCAAGUCGAACGGAAAGGCCCUGCUUUUGUGGGGUGCUCGAGUGGCGAACGGGUGAGUAACACGUGGGUUACCUGCCCUUGACUUUGGGAUAACUUCAGGAAACUGGGGCUAAUACCGGAUAGGAGCUCCUUCUGCAUGGUGGGGGUUGGAAAGUUUCGGCGGUUGGGGAUGGACUCGCGGCUUAUCAGCUUGUUGGUGGGGUAGUGGCUUACCAAGGCUUUGACGGGUAGCCGGCCUGAGAGGGUGACCGGCCACAUUGGGACUGAGAUACGGCCCAGACUCCUACGGGAGGCAGCAGUGGGGAAUAUUGCACAAUGGGCGGAAGCCUGAUGCAGCAACGCCGCGUGCGGGAUGACGGCCUUCGGGUUGUAAACCGCUUUCGCCUGUGACGAAGCGUGAGUGACGGUAAUGGGUAAAGAAGCACCGGCUAACUACAUG